Molecule: ribosomal RNA, 468 nt
Filed under: uncultured bacterium
Lineage: Bacteria
Description: partial 16S ribosomal RNA
Rfam family: Bacterial small subunit ribosomal RNA
Source: RNAcentral
GACGAACGCUGGCGGCGUGCUUAACACAUGCAAGUCGAACGGAAAGGCCCUGCUUUUGUGGGGUGCUCGAGUGGCGAACGGGUGAGUAACACGUGAGUAACCUGCCCUUGACUUUGGGAUAACUUCAGGAAACUGUGGCUAAUACCGGAUAGGAGCUCCUGCUGCAUGGUGGGUGUUGGAAAGUUUCGGCGGUUGGGGAUGGACUCGCGGCUUAUCAGCUUGUUGGUGUGGUAGUGGCUUACCAAGGCUUUGACGGGUAGCCGUACUGAGAGGGUGACAGGCCACAUAGGGACAGAGAUACGGCCAAGACUCAAACGGGAGGCAGCAGUGGGGAAUAGUGCAAAAUGGGCGGAAGCCUGAUGCAGGAACGCCGCGUGCGGGAUGACGGCCUUAGGGUUGUAAACCGCUUUCGCCUGUGAAGAAGAGUGAGUGACGGUAAUGUGUAAAGAAGCACCGGCUAACUACGUG